GACGGUCUGCGCCUCGCGGCAGGAGAGACAUAUUCCCCGGGGCCUUAUCGAUCUCAAAGGGAGCUGUCCCUGGGAAGACCCGUGGGUUUUCUCACACGGCGCCCACCUACUUUGUAGGUUCCCGGGAUCGACUUCUCCACCGGUUGCGUGGAUCGUCA
Mesorhizobium alhagi CCNWXJ12-2 is the source of this 158-nucleotide non-coding RNA. It matches the Rfam family "6S / SsrS RNA". Rfam says of the family: E. coli 6S RNA was the first non coding RNA to be sequenced, but its function was unknown until recently. It consists of 184 nucleotides that fold into an extended hairpin structure with a large single-stranded internal bulge. Lineage: Bacteria; Pseudomonadati; Pseudomonadota; Alphaproteobacteria; Hyphomicrobiales; Phyllobacteriaceae. The record is from Rfam.